RNAcentral lists this ribosomal RNA (252 nucleotides) under uncultured bacterium. Its description in RNAcentral is "partial 16S ribosomal RNA". It matches the Rfam family "Bacterial small subunit ribosomal RNA", at positions 524 to 776 of the family's 1533-position model. The record is from RNAcentral.
UACGGAGGAUGCGAGCGUUAUCCGGAUUUAUUGGGUUUAAAGGGUGCGUAGGCGGGCUUUUAAGUCAGCGGUAAAAAUUCGGGGCUCAACCCCGUCCGGCCGUUGAAACUGGGGGCCUUGAGUGGGCGAGAAGAAGGCGGAAUGCGUGGUGUAGCGGUGAAAUGCUUAGAUAUCACGCAGAACCCCGAUUGCGAAGGCAGCCUUCCGGCGCCCUACUGACGCUGAGGCACGAAAGUGCGGGGAUCGAACAGG